Non-coding RNA from Coffea arabica (coffee), 1492 nucleotides. The record is from RefSeq and is a predicted model, not a curated record. NCBI's taxonomy places the organism in Eukaryota, Viridiplantae, Streptophyta, Magnoliopsida, Gentianales, Rubiaceae.
AAAAGAAUCAAGAAAAGAAAUAGAUAAUGUUUAGUGAAAGGAUAAAAGGAAACUAGAGAAACAGAACUGAUGAGAUUAUCUGUCUAUUCAUUGAUUCCUUCAUGGCUUCUCGUCUGAUCACCACCCAUCGAAGCUUCUGCUACAAAGUUGAGUUAAACUCUUGUAGACUAUCAUUUCCAUCAUCAAACCCGCAUGUGAACUUUUGCAUUCCAGCUUUUGUUUCAUGUAGAGGUCCCUUUACUUGUUUGAAGCUUAACCACUGCCUCAAGCUUAGAGCAUCUUCUGAGGGGCUUCCGUCUGAGUUAGUAGAUGAAGACUCCAAAUUUGUUCCUCUAAAUGCUGAAGAUCCAAGAUAUGGUCCACCUGCAUUAUUGUUGCUGGGGUUUGAUUUAGAGGAGGCAGUGAAGAUACAGCAACUUCUUAAGGAGUUAGAUGGUGAUUUCCUAGAGGUAUCUCCAUUGGUAGCUAGCUUCUCUCAACACUUCUCUUUCUUCUUUUUCCACAUGCAAGUUAAGGAGAUGAAGAGGUAUUCAAAGUGGCUUUUGGUUGGUGGAAAGCUUUUGCAAACAGUCAUUUUUUGUACUGAAGACAUGAUUACUUGCUGUCUGUGGGAGGCAAUGAAUACUAAGCAACCUAAUUUGGAUGCUGCAAAGAUCAAAAGAAUGAUUGUGGCUGAUGUUAAGUGAAGGAUGUUUUUGAGUGCAAUUCUAUCCUCUAAUUUGGCAACUGAAGAAUCGUACUCUUAGAUGCUGCAUACUAGCUGGUCUUACAAUCAUGUAACAGAGAGUACAUUAAUAUUGCAUAUUGUCCGGCGUCAUAAGCAUUUUGGUAUACCCUGCAGAUUGCAAAGUCACUUCCCCGAAUUUGCUUCUUGUCUGGUCUCACAGGAGAGGAGAUGAUGAUGUUUAUUGAUGCCUUUCCAGAAAGUGGACUAGAACCGCCAGUUUUUGCUGCUCUUGUCCCGAACAGUGCUGAUAAACCGAUACAAGAGUUGAUUGAAGAGAUCAUGGGGGACCAUGAGAUGAUUGCAUCCAGAAAAUCGACUUAGAUAUGGAUAUUUGUUGGUGGAUUCUCCGAAGUUUAAACAUUAGUCGUACGGUAUGGCCCCUGCAAGCUGAAUGAAACUCACGAGCUUGUACCGGGAGAAGAGCAAUAUAUAGAUGACUAUACAUGAAUUCUAAAAUUUUAUAGAGCACUGACAUCUGUUAUCUCCAGCUUAACCGAUUUCACGUUAUAUACAGCACUGGCGGUCUACGACAUUGAGCAUGACUACUGCCGGUUAAAAUCCACUGAAAAGCCUAUCCUGACUGAAACGUGUACUUCAAAUGGUUGCCUUGAAAGUUUAAGUCAAAUCGUCUUGCAGGAAUUGAGAGAACUAAUCAGGCAACAUAUGCACUUUACCCAAAACUCUGCGUUGUUGAGAUCAUUUUUGUUGUGAGACGAUGAAAAUACAGAUGGCAUUAGCAAAUUAGUCUAGAAGAAUCGUGAUGCA